Molecule: ribosomal RNA, 497 nt
Filed under: uncultured bacterium
Lineage: Bacteria
Description: partial 16S ribosomal RNA
Rfam family: Bacterial small subunit ribosomal RNA
Source: RNAcentral
GAUGAACGCUGGCGGCGUGCCUAAUACAUGCAAGUCGAGCGAACAGACGAGGAGCUUGCUCCUCUGACGUUAGCGGCGGACGGGUGAGUAACACGUGGAUAACCUACCUAUAAGACUGGGAUAACUUCGGGAAACCGGAGCUAAUACCGGAUAACAUGUUGAACCGCAUGGUUCAACAGUGAAAGACGGUCUUGCUGUCACUUAUAGAUGGAUCCGCGCCGCAUUAGCUAGUUGGUAAGGUAACGGCUUACCAAGGCAACGAUGCGUAGCCGACCUGAGAGGAUGAUCGGCCACACUGGAACUGAGACACGGUCCAGACUCCUACGGGAGGCAGCAGUAGGGAAUAUUCCGCAAUGGGCGAAAGCCUGACGGAGCAACGCCGCGUGAGUGAAGAAGGUCUUCGGAUCGUAAAACUCUGUUAUUAGGGAAGAACAAAUGUGUAAGUAACUAUGCACGUCUUGACGGUACCAAAUCAGAAAGCCACGGCUAACUACGUG